Molecule: long non-coding RNA, 698 nt
Organism: Ornithodoros turicata
Lineage: Eukaryota; Metazoa; Arthropoda; Arachnida; Ixodida; Argasidae
Exons: 3
Source: RefSeq, a predicted model, not a curated record
UUGACGAGUGCCCCGCUCCUCGCUAGCUCGUUACGCGUGCAAGCGAGGACUUAAUCGCUUGUGGCUUGUCCAACCAUACGCGUAGUCUGACUAGGAAACGUUUCCAUCAUCUACGUCGCAGUCGUUGCUGUUGACUCGAAGCACUUUUCGUCGGUGCACAUCAAAGGAUGGCCACACACACUCACCUGUGAUGGCGUUGCAACGCUUGGCGAUAGCCGUUGAUGACUCUACAUAUACAAUUCAUCUGUCCUACCGUCUUUCCAAAUCGGUAUACCAUUUUGCACGAAUUCUCGGAAGCAAUAAAUGAACAGUAGUAUCUGGUAAUUGCCCAGCAGGACUUACAAAGUUUGCAAUAGCAGCGUCAGUGCAGUCGAACAGGAUGGUCACACGGAGUGCCCCGUACUCGUACAGUAUUUUUUCCAUAAAGUAGGCCAUGAACUUCCGCAUCUCCUGCACUCGAGACGAAUCCUUGAAGUGGCCCUUGACAUGAACCAUCACUGCAUUUCGAAGAACGGUCAGUAUAUCAUGCUGGCAACAGCCAUCAUCACUAUCAGCGAACAACAGAGGCACUCACGCAAAUGGCUUCCUGUCUUGUCCUGGUUGUAGGGCACCAGGACGCGUCUGUCGAAGAAGUCUACUUCAAGGUCCUCCUCGCGGAGGUCUUUAAAACGGAAAAAAAUAAAUCAACGCCAUACAAA